This 253-nucleotide ribosomal RNA is filed under the name uncultured bacterium. Its description in RNAcentral is "partial 16S ribosomal RNA". It matches the Rfam family "Bacterial small subunit ribosomal RNA", at positions 524 to 776 of the family's 1533-position model. The record is from RNAcentral.
GACGAACCGUGCGAACGUUGUUCGGAAUCACUGGGCUUAAAGGGCGCGUAGGCGGAGGGUAAAGUCGGUGGUGAAAGCCUUCAGCUUAACUGGAGAAGCGCCUCCGAUACUGACUCUCUGGAGGGAGGUAGGGGCAUGUGGAACUCAGGGUGGAGCGGUGAAAUGCGUAGAUAUCCUGAGGAACGCCGGUGGCGAAAGCGACGUGCUGGACCUCUUCUGACGCUGAGGCGCGAAAGCCAGGGGAGCGAACGGG